CUGUUGUUCCUCUCUGCUUAGUACAGAAGCUUUAGGAGGAAGUUUACAUGCUAGCCCUGAUAGGAGAGGGUAGCAGGGGUGAAGGAGACUCUUGAAGUGGCCUGAGAGAAAACCAGCCCACAGGCAGAUGGCCUUAGGGGUAGACAGGCAUGGAGGAACCAGAGAAGAGCAAGUCUUCAGGGAGGUAACCCCCGGGAGUUAACAUUCUGCAGAAGAACAGCAAGCUGGUGCCAUGAAAAGAUAGGGGAAUACAAGGAUGGUUGGCAGCACUGGGAAGCUACCAUGAAGGGUCUGGCUACACGAGAAGGAUAACGAUUCUUCCUUAGACUAUGGCUAAAAUUUGUAAAAACAGCUUGAAUCGUAGGCGCCUGAACCCCAAGGAUUUAGGAGCCUAAAUCACUUGGGUGCUUUUGCAAACUUUAGCAUUUGGCAUCUACAUUCCAUUGACUUUCACUGGGACUUAGCCUCCUCGUCAUCAAAGCCCAGCUUUAUAAAGGUGUUUAAUGAGUUGCUGCGCUCAGGGUUGCGAUGCCUAACUGAUAGAGGAGCCGAAGUCUCCUAAGUGCCUAAAUCCCUUUUGAAGGUGAGGCCUAGGCUCCUACCUCCGUUAUGCAUGACGAUGCUGAGCACAGCAAUGCCUACCUACCUCGAAAAAUCUGGGCCUAAGUCACUUUUGAAAAUGGGACCGAGGCGCUUUUGAAAAUCUUAAUCUACUCAUGGUCAGGGCUUUACUGACCAGUGGGUUUGUAAGGCCCAGAUCUACAGCACAGUGAUUCAGAGACCAUGAGCUGUUUUAUACAAGUAGGGGAACAGAACAGUGAGGGGACUGGGCAGGCUGGGAGACCCCUGGACUGUGAAUAUGUGUAUUCAGCAGCAGUGCCAGACAGGCCAUGGGAGGAGCUAUUCCUGCAAGCUGGCCAUACAGGAUGGCAGAGCAGGGUGCUGGCUGGAAGGGGAAGUAGGAGGGAGGGGUAGGAUGAUAGCUCUGUGAGAGAGCAGGGAGUGCUGCAACCCUUUGAUCCUCCUACUGGUGAUCUUACUGUAGCGGAGCACAGAACUGAAGAGUGUGGAGAGGCGUUUCCCCCCGUUUUGCGGCCUCUAGAUGCUGAUUGGCUGUGGCUAUAUGUGUUUCUGGCACUCCCACCCUGGUAUCGAUUCCCCUCUUCUGGCUCUGGUUGAAUUGUACCAGCCAACCAUGUCAGGGACUAAAAUAAAGAACAAACUGUAGCAAACCUCCUAGCAGGAAUGGCCAGGCUCAGAUUUUAAACACGCCCUUAGCUGGGUUAGUGGAAUGUGUUUGGCAGGCAAUAUAGGGUUGCAGCAGAACAUGCUGAUCUACGUCAUCCAGCCAAUGCCUGCAUAAGAGGAGACUGAGACCAAACGCUUCAAAUGUACCUGCAGUGGGGAAGGGAGGGAGACUCUAUUUCCCUCCCCUCUUCGCUUUCUCCCGAAUUAAAUCCACUGCCCUGCAG
Long non-coding RNA from Chelonia mydas (Green sea turtle), 1472 nucleotides. RefSeq lists it as uncharacterized. Lineage: Eukaryota; Metazoa; Chordata; Testudines; Cheloniidae. The transcript is spliced from 3 exons. The record is from RefSeq and is a predicted model, not a curated record.